This 253-nucleotide ribosomal RNA is filed under the name uncultured bacterium. RNAcentral's name for it is "partial 16S ribosomal RNA". It matches the Rfam family "Bacterial small subunit ribosomal RNA", at positions 524 to 776 of the family's 1533-position model. The record is from RNAcentral.
UACAGAGGGGGCAAGCGUUGUUCGGAAUUACUGGGCGUAAAGGGCGCGUAGGCGGCCUCUUAAGUCGAACGUGAAAUCCCCGGGCUCAACCCGGGAACUGCGUCCGAUACUGGGAGGCUUGAAUCCGGGAGAGGGAUGUGGAAUUCCAGGUGUAGCGGUGAAAUGCGCAGAUAUCAGGAGGAACACCGAUUGCGAAGGCAGCUCGCUGGGACGUCACUGACGCUGAGACGCGAAAGCGUGGGGAGCAAACAGG